GCACCACAAGAGGUGGGACCUGCGGUUCAAUUGGAUUCAACGCCGGAAAACUCACCAGGGGCGACAGUUGGAUGAAAGCCAGGUUGACGACCUUGCCCGACUAGCUGAGAGGUGGUGCAUGGCCAUCGUCAGCUCGUACCGUGAGGCGUCCUGUCAAGUCAGGCAACGAGCGAGAUCCUCGCCCUUAGUUGCCAUCAGUGGGAAAGCUGGGCACUCUAGGGGGACCGCUGGCGCUAAGCCAGAGGAAGGAGAGGGCGACGGUAGGUCAGUAUGCCCCGAAUCCCCUGGGCUACACGCGGGUCACAAUGCGCAGGACAAUGAGAUGCAACCCCGUGAGGGGAAGCCAAACCCAUAAACCUGCGCUCGGUUCGGAUCGAGGGCUGUAACUCGCCCUCGUGAAGCUGGAAUCCGUAGUAAUCGCGCUUCAACACAGCGCGGUGAAUACGUCCCUGCUCCUUGCACACACCGCCCGUCGAGCCACUCGAGUGGGGUUUGGACGAGGUCAGCUCAAGUUGGGUUGCUCGAAUCCGAGUUCUGCAAGAGGGGCU
This 548-nucleotide ribosomal RNA is filed under the name uncultured archaeon. RNAcentral's name for it is "bacterial SSU rRNA". It matches the Rfam family "Archaeal small subunit ribosomal RNA", at positions 876 to 1429 of the family's 1478-position model. The record is from RNAcentral.